GACAGUGAAGUGCGGGUGUGCGCCUCACUCUCAGAUGCAAAAACCCUAACAUUAUUCUUCUCUAGUUCUCUGUUCCAUAUUCCAGAAACCGGUGAGAGGCUGAGGCUGAGAGCAAUAGCCAAUAGAGCAUCGAGCUUCUUGCCUUCCUCUUCUCCAAGUCUCCAACACCUACUCACCGGCUGUCGUCAUUCUUGCCUUCGUCCUCCGUCCGAGAGCAGCUGAGCAGCGCUUCGCCGCCAACGUCCUCUGUCCGGGCGCAGAACCAAGGCUUCGUCCUCUGUCCUCUGUCCUUCGUCCUCUGUCCUCUGUCCUUCGUCGAUGUGAGUUUGUCACCGUACCUCCGUCCGAGAGCAGCUGAGCAGAGCUUCGCCUCCGUCAUCCUCCGUUCGAGCGAAGAACUUAACCGACGUCCUCCGUCCUUCGUCGCCGUGAGUCUGUCGCCGUUGUUGUGAGUCCGUCGCCGUACCCUGUUUAAAUCUUGAUUUGCAAACUUUUAAUGAUGAUGAAGAUGUUGAAAGUGAUCAAGAAUAAGGAUUGAAGAUUCCUUUAUAUCUAAUUUGUAAUUUUUUUUAUUAUGGUGUUAAAUUUGUAGUGAUCUUAUACUAGCUUUUUUUUUUAAUUUCAAGUUAUUUGAGCUAAUGACAUUGUAUGAAUUUUAUGUUUGUAUUUUAAUUUAUCUAUGAAUUUUAAGUUUUUUGUCUUAA
Arachis ipaensis is the source of this 704-nucleotide non-coding RNA. The record is from RefSeq and is a predicted model, not a curated record. Lineage: Eukaryota; Viridiplantae; Streptophyta; Magnoliopsida; Fabales; Fabaceae.